UAUGUAUGUUCAUUCUGCAAAUACUGGAAAUUUUCAGUGUAAAAUGUGUUUAUUCCCACUUGUCAAGUUAAAUAACCGAGCAGCUAUUUUAACCACAACCACCCCAACCCCCGAUUAUUUUGCAAUACAUUCAAAACAUUAUUGUAACUCAAUUUUUGAAUAAAACACAUAUAUAUCUUGACAAUUUUUCCAAGAGUGUGUGUGUGUGUUUGAGUGUGUGUAUGUGUAUGAGUGUUU
Molecule: non-coding RNA, 237 nt
Organism: Pelobates cultripes (western spadefoot toad)
Lineage: Eukaryota; Metazoa; Chordata; Amphibia; Anura; Pelobatidae
Source: the annotation of a GenBank genome assembly